UACGUAGGGUGCGAGCGUUAAUCGGAAUUACUGGGCGUAAAGCGCGUGUAGGCGGCUUGGCAAGUUGAAUGUGAAAGCCCACGGCUCAACCGUGGAAGCGCAUCCAAAACUGCUUCGCUCGAGUCUCGGAGAGGAAGGUGGAAUGCUUGGUGUAGAGGUGAAAUUCGUAGAUAUCAAGCAGAACACCUGCGGCGAAGGCGGCCUUCUGGACGAUGACUGACGCUGAGACGCGAAAGCGUGGGGAGCAAACAGG
Molecule: ribosomal RNA, 253 nt
Filed under: uncultured bacterium
Lineage: Bacteria
Description: partial 16S ribosomal RNA
Rfam family: Bacterial small subunit ribosomal RNA
Source: RNAcentral